UAGGGAAUCUUCGGCAAUGGACGAAAGUCUGACCGAGCAACGCCGCGUGAGUGAAGAAGGUUUUCGGAUCGUAAAACUCUGUUGUUAGAGAAGAACAAGGACGUGAGUAACUGAACGUCCCCUGACGGUAUCUAACCAGAAACCCACGGCUAACUACGUGCCAGCAGCCGCGGUAACACGUAGGUGGCAAGCGUUGUCCGGAUUUAUUGGGCGUAAAGCGAGCGCAGGCGGAUUCUUAAGUCUGAUGUGAAAGCCCCCGGCUCAACCGGGGAAGGUCAUUGGAAACUGGGAGGCUUGAGUGCAGAAGAGGAGAGUGGAAUUCCAUGUGUAGCGGUGAAAUGCGUAGAUAUAUGGAGGAACACCAGUGGCGAAGGCGGCUCUCUGGGCUGUAACUGACGCUGAGGCACGAAAGCGUGGGGAGCGAACAGG
This 429-nucleotide ribosomal RNA is filed under the name Acidobacteriota bacterium. RNAcentral describes it as "Acidobacteria bacterium partial 16S ribosomal RNA". It matches the Rfam family "Bacterial small subunit ribosomal RNA", at positions 355 to 776 of the family's 1533-position model. Lineage: Bacteria; Pseudomonadati; Acidobacteriota. The record is from RNAcentral.